ACCCGCUGCAGCUGCUCAGCUGCCACACUGUUCCUGCAGGUCACUUUGAUUCCCUGCCACAUCUGACUGCUCACCAAGCCCAAACCCACAAAGGCAUUUCUGUGCCUAAUUUUAACUGAAGUGAAGGGGAGGCGGGUAUCUAGAUACUGCUGGCUCUUACUCAUUCGACAAGCCUUACCUCCCCCAGGAGGACAAGGACAGCACGAAAUGGCAUUCAGGAUAGUAGGUAGACAACCUUAAAAACACAAAAACAAACAAACAAAAAAGAGCUCAGUGGGCUGUCAAGAGCCUUGAAAUCUCAGAGCCUGGGUCCAGGAGGACCAAUGGAUCACAAGGAAACAACUGGGAAAGGAAGCUACAGUGAUUAUUGCUUGAGUUAAGAAGGACAUGACCAUGGGCUUUCCAGCAGGUCAUUUUCCUCUUUUACAUCUUGGAGGCAAUCCUGAAGCAAACACAAUGCCAGAGAUUCAUUAAGUGCAUGAAGUCCAGUAACUUGGCCUUCUCCAGUAAUGUGGUUGGACUCUUUUUUAAUGAGGAGAUUUCAUACCUUCAUCUCACCCUGCAAAGGUCAUUUCCCUAUUUGAACACAGAGAGACAAAGUACACAACUGAUCCUGACUCAUGCCCUACAAGGCUAGAUGUUCAAGAUGGAUGCAGAAACAGAAUGACCUCAGUGCCACAAUGACUGAAACAACCUUCUCCUUUCUAAGUGUUGGGCCUGUACAAAACAACUAAUUGAUGUCAUCUGUUGCUUAAAGAGAGCUUGGCAACUGUACAGCUCCAUGCAGUUUGUAAAGUAAGCACCACCAUUAACAAUUUCACUGGAGGGAAAUGGAGGCAAAGACAGCAAGUGUCUGGUCCUAAAUCACCCAGCAUGUGGGUGUCAAGUGCACAAUCAGGGACAUGUAAGGACCCCCAAGGCCUGAGCCAGCCUAAUGCUGCUCUUCCAGGAACCUCCUUUCCACACAAGCCAGCUGGCUGAGACACCAAAGCAUCAGAGCUGCAAAUAAUAAACAAACUAGGAAGGAUGGGACCAAGUUCCCGAUGGCAAAUACCUCCAAGGUUUCAACUGCUGUCAGCAAAACAUAUAUCUCAGCACAGGCAAUAACGUAAUACCAUUGUCUCUGGCUGUCUUUAGUGCAAAGGGUGUACAGAGCAAAUCAGAUUUGGGUGGUAAUAGUUAACUUUGUCAUGCCUGAUUCCCCUCACCCACUUUGCUCAGUGUUACCUCUCCAACCUUCUCUUGCUGCUCCUGGAUAGUCAUGACUCCUGUGAUAGAAAGAGUGGGGAGAGAGGAAAAGCUCAGGUCCUGUCAUGUUUUUACCCACAAUUUGAGAGCCACAUGAUUGAAAUCACCGUUACUCAUAUACUACCAAGAUGUAAUUUAACAGAGUAUAGUUGGGAGAGCUGAAAAUAAAAGCUUAACUUUUUACAACCUCUCUAGAUUACCAUUGCUUUUUUUUUUUUUUUUCUGUCCUGGAAGUGUUCAAUAAGAAAUUUUAAUUCUGAGCUGAAAAGUAAUAGCUCAACCCUGUAGUUAUCAAGGUCCUUCCUUGGUUUAUGAGGGAUACUGUUAC
This is a long non-coding RNA of Taeniopygia guttata (zebra finch), 1576 nucleotides long. The record is from Ensembl. Lineage: Eukaryota; Metazoa; Chordata; Aves; Passeriformes; Estrildidae.